UGGCGGACGGGUGAGUAACGCGUGGAAAACCUGCCGUAUACUGGGGGAUAACGCUUAGAAAUAGGUGCUAAUACCGCAUAAGCGCACAGCUUCGCAUGAAGCGGUGUGAAAAACUCUGGUGGUAUACGAUGGUUCCGCGUCUGAUUAGCUAGUUGGUGGGGUAAUGGCCUACCAAGGCAACGAUCAGUAGCCGGCCUGAGAGGGUGAACGGCCACAUUGGGACUGAGACACGGCCCAAACUCCUACGGGAGGCAGCAG
Molecule: ribosomal RNA, 258 nt
Filed under: uncultured bacterium
Lineage: Bacteria
Description: partial 16S ribosomal RNA
Rfam family: Bacterial small subunit ribosomal RNA
Source: RNAcentral